This 504-nucleotide ribosomal RNA is filed under the name uncultured bacterium. RNAcentral describes it as "partial 16S ribosomal RNA". It matches the Rfam family "Bacterial small subunit ribosomal RNA", at positions 28 to 506 of the family's 1533-position model. The record is from RNAcentral.
GACGAACGCUGGCGGCGUGCCUAAUACAUGCAAGUAGAACGCACAGUUUAUACCGUAGCUUGCUACACCAUAGACUGUGAGUUGCGAACGGGUGAGUAACGCGUAGGUAACCUGCCUGGUAGCGGGGGAUAACUAUUGGAAACGAUAGCUAAUACCGCAUAAUAUUAAUUAUUGCAUGAUAAUUAAUUGAAAGGUGCAAUUGCACCACUACCAGAUGGACCUGCGUUGUAUUAGCUAGUAGGUGAGGUAACGGCUCACCUAGGCGACGAUACAUAGCCGACCUGAGAGGGUGAUCGGCCACACUGGGACUGAGACACGGCCCAGACUCCUACGGGAGGCAGCAGUAGGGAAUCUUCGGCAAAGGACGAAAGUCUGACCGAGCAACGCCGCGUGAGUGAAGAAGGUUUUCUGAUCGUAAAGCUCUGUUGUAAGAGAAGAACGGGUGUGAGAGUGGAAAGUUCACACUGUGACGGUAUCUUACCAGAAAGGGACGGCUAACUACGU